RNA transcript from Neolamprologus brichardi, 1777 nucleotides. RefSeq lists it as uncharacterized. Lineage: Eukaryota; Metazoa; Chordata; Actinopteri; Cichliformes; Cichlidae. The record is from RefSeq and is a predicted model, not a curated record.
UGGCGGGAGUGCUGGGAGGAGAGAAAGCAGCCAGGGUGGCGCGUUGACUGGAGGAUCGCCAACCGCUCUCAAACAGCAUGCAACAGGCGUGGGCAGUAAUGCCUGUGUGAUUGGGCUGUGCUGGGUGAUGAUUUUAAUAAACACACACCCGCAGAGGUGGCCACAGGUCAACCGUGUUUGGAUUCAUCAGGUGCACAGGACGCAAGCUGGAAUGUAAAGCUCGGUGGUGGACUGGACCCACACCUGGACCAUAUUUCACCAGGGUGCAUACGAGAGAAUGGAUUGGAUCAUAGGUGAUAGCGUGUUUUUACCUGGAUAAUGAGAAGGAGCCAGGUUCCAGCAGAGACGCUUCUUACAACAGAGGGGACUCCCAAACCUAAUAUCCACAACACAGAGGCUCCUGCUAUAAAGACACAUCUUUUGAAAUGGGAAAAAAAGAGGUAAAAAAAGAAGAAAAGGAAGGAUCAGUUGGCAUCUCUCACUUUGACUACAAAAGAGUGAAUGAGGGAAAAACUUCAUUAUAUUGGCGAGUGACAGGAAAUGUGAAACACAGUGACAGAGGAAGAGAAUGAGGACCUUUUUUCCCUCCCCACCUCAGUUUCAUGUCUCUCUCGCUGCAAAACAGAAAAAAAAAGAAACUCUGUGGACCAUACGAACUACAACACACACACAUGCACUGACCCCAUAUCUCUCAUGAACAGUGCCACCGACCAUCAACUGUCAUUUUUAUUCAGUGUCGGACUCACUCCGUAAUCACCCUGACAGACAAUGCACUGCCACCAUGUUGCUACAGUGCCGUAAGUGAAGAAACAGCAAGUUAAUGCCUUUAUCACCGGUGUCACUGUUCUUCCAGCAUUUAAACAUUAAAAACUUAUAUUGCAUGGUUAUUAACUUAUUUUGACAAUGAUUAAUUUGCAUAAUGUCACAUUUACUGUCCCUUUAUUAAAGUCACAGCGGCAUAGAACGACCACAUGAUUCACUUUGGAUGAUUUCUUACAGUUUUCCAGAAGCAUGUCCAGGACUCAGACGUCAGACAGUUCUGAAGCACAAUCAUUUCAAACAUUUUCUGAAUUUUUAUAGUUGUAUAAAUUGGAUAGUGCACCUAUUUCUGUUCCACCAUAUUUUAUUAGGGAAUGUUUUGAUUUUUGCACAUUCGUUUCAGCUAGAAAGGACACUGAUAUUAAACAUUUUAUGAAAAACUAUAUCAUCAUUCAUGAGAUUAUUACUUCUACUACACUAAAAAAUCAAGCUGCUGCUUAGAUAUUAAUAUAUUUCUGAUUUAUCAACAACACAUAGCGUAAAACGUUCUAAUGAUAGCUCAUUGUUUACUAAAAACUUUGAUCUUCACAUACAAUUUGUGUAUAAUAUAACACAUAAAUGGGGAGUAUUUAGAUAAAUACAGUAGACUAAAUUUAAACAGUGCAUUUAAAGAGAAAUUAACACAUUUCAGUGUUUUAGUUUAUAUGUUUAAAUAUGUUCUCUUCCAUUUGAUUGCAUGAGAAUUUCUUUUGAUUAUAUACUACAAUUGUGUGAGUACAAACAGUUCCACACUAGUGUACAAAGACUUGUAGGACUGUUGUUCAUUUUAUGGUUUUGUGUUAUGUUACAGCUACACUGUGUGACUGAACUCCAGCUGUUUUCUAAGUUCAUUGUCAGGAUUGUUGCUGAAAUUUGACUUACAAGCAGGGUUGCUUGUAAGUCAAAUUUCAGCAACAACCCAUGUAGUUGCGCAGUGUAUGGGGCACCGCACUGCAACAAUAAAAAAAAAAAAGAAAGU